CAGUCGAACGACUCUGGUAUUGAUUGGUGCUUGCAUCAUGAUUUACAUUUGAGUGAGUGGCGAACUGGUGAGUAACACGUGGGAAACCUGCCCAGAAGCGGGGGAUAACACCUGGAAACAGAUGCUAAUACCGCAUAACAACUUGGACCGCAUGGUCCGAGCUUGAAAGAUGGCUUCGGCUAUCACUUUUGGAUGGUCCCGCGGCGUAUUAGCUAGAUGGUGGGGUAACGGCUCACCAUGGCAAUGAUACGUAGCCGACCUGAGAGGGUAAUCGGCCACAUUGGGACUGAGACACGGCCCAAACUCCUACGGGAGGCAGCAGUAGGGAAUCUUCCACAAUGGACGAAAGUCUGAUGGAGCAACGCCGCGUGAGUGAAGAAGGGUUUCGGCUCGUAAAACUCUGUUGUUAAAGAAGAACAUAUCUGAGAGUAACUGUUCAGGUAUUGACGGUAUUUAACCAGAAAGCCACGGCUAACUACGUGCCAGCAGCCGCGGUAAUACGUAGGUGGCAAGCGUUGUCCGGAUUUAUUGGGCGUAAAGCGAGCGCAGGCGGUUUUUUAAGUCUGAUGUGAAAGCCUUCGGCUCAACCGAAGAAGUGCAUCGGAAACUGGGAAACUUGAGUGCAGAAGAGGACAGUGGAACUCCAUGUGUAGCGGUGAAAUGCGUAGAUAUAUGGAAGAACACCAGUGGCGAAGGCGGCUGUCUGGUCUGUAACUGACGCUGAGGCUCGAAAGUAUGGGUAGCAAACAGGAUUAGAUACCCUGGUAGUCCAUACCGUAAACGAUGAAUGCUAAGUGUUGGAGGGUUUCCGCCCUUCAGUGCUGCAGCUAACGCAUUAAGCAUUCCGCCUGGGGAGUACGGCCGCAAGGCUGAAACUCAAAGGAAUUGACGGGGGCCCGCACAAGCGGUGGAGCAUGUGGUUUAAUUCGAAGCUACGCGAAGAACCUUACCAGGUCUUGACAUACUAUGCAAAUCUAAGAGAUUAGACGUUCCCUUCGGGGACAUGGAUACAGGUGGUGCAUGGUUGUCGUCAGCUCGUGUCGUGAGAUGUUGGGUUAAGUCCCGCAACGAGCGCAACCCUUAUUAUCAGUUGCCAGCAUUAAGUUGGGCACUCUGGUGAGACUGCCGGUGACAAACCGGAGGAAGGUGGGGAUGACGUCAAAUCAUCAUGCCCCUUAUGACCUGGGCUACACACGUGCUACAAUGGAUGGUACAACGAGUUGCGAACUCGCGAGAGUAAGCUAAUCUCUUAAAGCCAUUCUCAGUUCGGAUUGUAGGCUGCAACUCGCCUACAUGAAGUCGGAAUCGCUAGUAAUCGCGGAUCAGCAUGCCGCGGUGAAUACGUUCCCGGGCCUUGUACACACCGCCCGUCACACCAUGAGAGUUUGUAACACCCAAAGUCGGUGGGG
RNAcentral lists this ribosomal RNA (1409 nucleotides) under Lactiplantibacillus plantarum. RNAcentral describes it as "bacterial SSU rRNA". It matches the Rfam family "Bacterial small subunit ribosomal RNA", at positions 59 to 1435 of the family's 1533-position model. The record is from RNAcentral. Lineage: Bacteria; Bacillati; Bacillota; Bacilli; Lactobacillales; Lactobacillaceae.